This is a long non-coding RNA of Wasmannia auropunctata (little fire ant), 1857 nucleotides long. RefSeq lists it as uncharacterized. The transcript has 3 exons. NCBI's taxonomy places the organism in Eukaryota, Metazoa, Arthropoda, Insecta, Hymenoptera, Formicidae. The record is from RefSeq and is a predicted model, not a curated record.
UUACACACACGCGCGCGCUCGCACAGGCAUGUAUGUAAAUCAAUCUUAUCAACAAAAUUUGCUUUGCUUUGCUCAGCAAGUUUACAAAUAUUGCAAGUAUAAGCAUUGUUUUUAAAAAUUUAAGCACACAAUUUUCGAUGCUUUUACCUGUUUGUGCAAACCACGCAUUCCUCGUAUGUCCUCGCGAUAGUUGACCCCGGAUUUGUUUGAGGAAGAGUGUCAAGAUUGUCAAGAGGGAUUGGCGCUAACGACGCUUCGAAUUGCAAAGUUUUCUGCCUUUGGUCGAGAUGAUUAAUCAGUUGGGACCUCACUAAAAAUAAUCCCGGAAACGCAAAUUCGCACAGCUUCAAUAUCAGAGACGAUGCUCCUCUUUCAUAAGCGAUCAACAAGUUGAAUAUAACUGAAACGCCGUUAAUAAAGCGAUGAAAAUGAUAAAUCGCAACGGUUCCACCCCCGUCCGAGCACCGUAUUGCGUUAUUAAAACUUUACUAAUGGGCAAUAAUAAGCACCAGCCUUGGCCAAGAUUGAUAUUAAAUCGUAAACUGUUUCGUCCUCAUUUAUCAUUAUCACGAUGCAAGUCCGUUGAACUCUUUAAAUCUUGAAUCCGCGAAGAAUUCUUGCCAAGCGGACUUUUAUAGAGAGAUGUCGAAACAUCGACAAUCCUCUGUAAGGACAACAAAAUUCAUGAAGUGAUAUGACAGAUCCAUGUGUGUGAUCUCACGGUAAUCGUCACUUGGAUGAUCACACAUUCGUCCGGUAGCCGAAAGGACUCGUCGUUGACGAAGCAGGCCCUCUUCGAGGAUAGCCGUGGGUGUAAAGGGGGUGUCAUGCCGGCAGACUGGGAAAAGUGAUUGAUCGUGUUUCGCCGGAAGACAAGAGCAGAAGACUCGGGGCAGAACCGGAGGAAAGGAGCAAGACGACGAAAGUAGAGAUGGCGUAAGAUGGCGGUGGAUGAGGAAAGAGAGAAGGACAGCAGUUCCCCGAGCGUCGUCGGUGAUAAAGACGAGGAGGUUGUGUCGCAAAACGAGGAGACAACCCCCUCUAGCCUCCUCUACGUCAUUCAGCGGCCCCUUCAACCCCUCUGGACUCUUCCAGAUUCCACUCAAAGCUCCGCUCUCCUGCUUGGAGCGACAUGAAGUGGCCAUAAGAAAAAUAGAAAUAAGCCGCGGCGUAUCCGAGUAAACGAAGAACUAACUCGAGAGGGAAAGAGAGAUCUCGUAAAAACGGGCGAUGCGUUUUCAGCCUUUCUGAAACGUUCAAUCCUAAAUCAUCUCUAUUUUCUCUAUUUAGCGCGUAUCCGACAUUAAUUAAAGGGCAUUAAACGAUAAGAAACAUUUUUCGUUCAAAAGCUUGAAUUUUAAAUUAAAAUCUAUUUAAUUCAUAUGAAACGAAUCUUAGCCUCGCGUCGCUUUUGUUCUGUAAUACCGUUCUACAGUAUACUGUUAUUUCCUGCAGAUCGUUUAUACAGCACACAGCCAAUGUAGCUUAAAUUUACCGUGCUGUAUUGUCGUACCAAGGCAAAACACAGUGAGUAUGCUCUUUGUGUAAUGACUCGGCGUUUUAUAUUCUCUAUGCCACGCAGCUGAUCGCGAGUAGACGUACUUGACCGAGUACGCCGAGACACCAGUGCAUUAAUAUGAGCAAAGUGUAAUCGAACGGCAGAUCUAUUACUAUUAAUUUAGCCAAUUCCAUCUCGCCUUACGUAACAUCUUUAGCUUGGUUGUCAAUUAAUUAUAAAAUUAAAGAUAGUUGAUUUAACGAUAGCGUAAAAUACAUGUCUUUUUAUCCUUUAUUCAUUACCCCUGUUUCGUAAUAAUUAAUAUAAAAUUGAUAAAUGUACCUAUUUUUUACUUGACA